AGAAGGAACUAAGCAUGAAGAAGAAGAGCGAGAAGAAGGCAGCAAGCAUGAAGAGGAAGAGAGAGAAGAAGAGGAAGAAGGAAGCAAGCAUGACAUGGAAGAGAGAGAAGAAGAAAGAAACAAGCUUGAAGAUGAGGAACAAGAAGAAGAAACCAAGAAUGAUGAGACAGAAGAUGAGAGGAGAGGAGGUGGCGCUGAUGAGAUAGAUGAACGUGAUCAAGAGAAAAUAGGAGAAGCUGAUC
Molecule: unclassified non-coding RNA, 242 nt
Filed under: Hevea brasiliensis (rubber tree)
Lineage: Eukaryota; Viridiplantae; Streptophyta; Magnoliopsida; Malpighiales; Euphorbiaceae
Source: RNAcentral